This 300-nucleotide unclassified non-coding RNA is filed under the name uncultured fungus. RNAcentral describes it as "sequence contains 5.8S rRNA gene, ITS2". The stretch from base 1 to 71 matches the Rfam family "5.8S ribosomal RNA", at positions 84 to 154 of the family's 154-position model. The record is from RNAcentral. Lineage: Eukaryota; Fungi.
GUGAAUCAUCGAAUCUUUGAACGCAUAUUGCGCUCGAGACUUCGGUCGAGAGCAUGUCUGUCUCAGCGUCGGCUCACCCCUCGCCCCUCCCCUUUCAUUUGCAAAGGAGAACGGGCGGACGUGGCCGUCUCGCUGCUGUUAGUUUUUAAUUAAUCGGCGGCGGGUCGGCUGAAGUGCAGGGCUCGCGGCGCGACUCUCUCAAAAGAGCGCCAGCAUGGUAGGUGGCUUCACGCUGCAUGCCGCUGUCGUUCGACUGCAGAGGGCUCAAAUGCCGCUCGGCCAUAAGCAGGAAUUUUUUCU